This 490-nucleotide ribosomal RNA is filed under the name uncultured bacterium. Its description in RNAcentral is "partial 16S ribosomal RNA". It matches the Rfam family "Bacterial small subunit ribosomal RNA", at positions 29 to 507 of the family's 1533-position model. The record is from RNAcentral.
AGUGAACGCUGGCGGCAGGCCUAAUACAUGCAAGUCGAACGGCAGCACAGUGGAGCUUGCUCCAUGGGUGGCGAGUGGCGGACGUGUGAGGAAUACAUGGGAAUCUGCCCAGUCGUGGGGGAUAACGUAGGGAAACUUACGCUAAUACCGCAUGCGCCCUUCGGGGGAAAGCCGGGGACCUUCGGGCCUGGCGCGUUUGGAUGAGCCCAUGUUCGAUUAGCUAGUUGGCGGGGUAAAGGCCCACCAAGGCGACGAUCGAUAGCUGGUCUGAGAGGAUGAUCAGCCACACUGGGACUGAGACACGGCCCAGACUCCUACGGGAGGCAGCAGUAGGGAAUAUUGGACAAUGGGCGCAAGCCUGAUCCAGCCAUGCCGCGUGAGUGAAGAAGGCCCUCGGGUUGUAAAGCUCUUUUGUCCGGGAAGAAAAGCAUCGGGCUAAUACCUCGGUGUUCUGACGGUACCGGAAGAAUAAGCACCGGCUAACUUCGUG